Non-coding RNA from Dipodomys ordii (Ord's kangaroo rat), 71 nucleotides. The record is from Rfam. Lineage: Eukaryota; Metazoa; Chordata; Mammalia; Rodentia; Heteromyidae.
UGGAAUGUGGCUUAGUGGUAGAGUGCUUGCCUAGCAUGCAUGAAAGCCUGGGUUCGAUUCCUCUGUACCAC